UGGGGAAUAUUGGACAAUGGGCGAAAAGCCUGAUCCAGCAAUGCCGCGUGUGUGAAGAAGGUCUUCGGAUUGUAAAGCACUUUCGACGGGGACGAUGAUGACGGUACCCGUAGAAGAAGCCCGGCUAACUUCGCGCCAG
RNAcentral lists this ribosomal RNA (139 nucleotides) under uncultured bacterium. Its description in RNAcentral is "partial 16S ribosomal RNA". It matches the Rfam family "Bacterial small subunit ribosomal RNA", at positions 355 to 511 of the family's 1533-position model. The record is from RNAcentral.